GGUUCUGUAGUGUACCGGUUAGCACUGUGUCUGCUUUACAUGCAGAAGAUCCUGGGUUCACGUCCCAGUGGAGCCA
Molecule: transfer RNA, 76 nt
Filed under: Pteropus alecto (black flying fox)
Lineage: Eukaryota; Metazoa; Chordata; Mammalia; Chiroptera; Pteropodidae
Rfam family: tRNA
About the family: Transfer RNA (tRNA) molecules are approximately 80 nucleotides in length. Their secondary structure includes four short double-helical elements and three loops (D, anti-codon, and T loops). Further hydrogen bonds mediate the characteristic L-shaped molecular structure. tRNAs have two regions of fundamental functional importance: the anti-codon, which is responsible for specific mRNA codon recognition, and the 3' end, to which the tRNAs corresponding amino acid is attached (by aminoacyl-tRNA synthetases). tRNAs cope with the degeneracy of the genetic code in two manners: having more than one tRNA (with a specific anti-codon) for a particular amino acid; and 'wobble' base-pairing, i.e. permitting non-standard base-pairing at the 3rd anti-codon position.
Source: Rfam by way of RNAcentral